RNAcentral lists this ribosomal RNA (273 nucleotides) under uncultured bacterium. RNAcentral describes it as "partial 16S ribosomal RNA". It matches the Rfam family "Bacterial small subunit ribosomal RNA", at positions 505 to 776 of the family's 1533-position model. The record is from RNAcentral.
GUGCCAGCCCGCCGCGGUAAUACGGGGGGUGCUAGCGUUGUUCGGAAUCAUUGGGCGUAAAGAGCGUGUAGGCGGCUGGAUAAGUCAGAUGUGAAAGCCCUGGGCUUAACCCAGGAAGUGCAUUUGAAACUGUUCAGCUUGAGUAAGGGAGAGGAAAGUGGAAUUCCUGGUGUAGAGGUGAAAUUCGUAGAUAUCAGGAGGAACACCGGUGGCGAAGGCGACUUUCUGGCCCUAUACUGACGCUGAGACGCGAGAGCGUGGGUAGCAAACAGG